RNAcentral lists this ribosomal RNA (253 nucleotides) under uncultured bacterium. RNAcentral describes it as "partial 16S ribosomal RNA". It matches the Rfam family "Bacterial small subunit ribosomal RNA", at positions 524 to 776 of the family's 1533-position model. The record is from RNAcentral.
UACGUAGGGUGCGAGCGUUAAUCGGAAUUACUGGGCGUAAAGCGUGCGCAGGCGGUUUUGUGAGCCAGAUGUGAAAGCCCCGGGCUUAACCUGGGAAUGGCAUUUGGGACUGCAAGGCUGGAGUGUGGCAGAGGAGACUGGAAUUCCUGGUGUAGCAGUGAAAUGCGUAGAUAUCAGGAGGAACACCAAUAGCGAAGGCAGCUCGCUGGGACGGUACUGACGCUAAGGCGCGAAAGCGUGGGGAGCGAACAGG